RNAcentral lists this ribosomal RNA (75 nucleotides) under Penicillium chermesinum. RNAcentral describes it as "partial 28S ribosomal RNA". The record is from RNAcentral. Lineage: Eukaryota; Fungi; Ascomycota; Eurotiomycetes; Eurotiales; Aspergillaceae.
GGUUGACCUCGGAUCAGGUAGGGAUCCCCGCUGAACUUAAGCAUAUCAAUAAGCGGGAGAAAAAAAAAAAGGGAA